This 301-nucleotide ribosomal RNA is filed under the name uncultured bacterium. Its description in RNAcentral is "partial 16S ribosomal RNA". It matches the Rfam family "Bacterial small subunit ribosomal RNA", at positions 509 to 807 of the family's 1533-position model. The record is from RNAcentral.
CAGCAGCCGCGGGAACACGUAGGGGGCGAGCGUUGUCCGAAGUUACUGGGCGUAAAGAGCGCGUAGGCUGGUCUUUAAGUGAGUGGUGAAAGGUUCGGGCUCAACCCGGACACUGCCUUUCAUACUGGGGACCUUGAGUGUGGGAGAGGCGAGUGGAAUGGUCGGUGUAGCGGUGAAAUGCGUAGAUAUCGAUCGGAACACCCAUGGCGAAGGCAGCUCGCUGGCCUAACACUGACGCUGAGGCGCGAAAGCGUGGGGAGCAAACAGGAUUAGAGACCCGUGUAGUCCCUGUCUCUUAUAC